This 1817-nucleotide long non-coding RNA is filed under the name Sorghum bicolor (sorghum). RNAcentral's name for it is "long non-coding RNA (SBIC_LNC000565)". Lineage: Eukaryota; Viridiplantae; Streptophyta; Magnoliopsida; Poales; Poaceae. The record is from RNAcentral.
ACCGUUAACGGCGGAACCGCCAUGACGGUGUCUUUUCUUUAUCGAGUGCCCGACAAAUAGCACUUGGCAAAGAGGUCUUUGCCAAUAAUUUUUUUGUCGAGUGCAAUUAAGCCUUUGCCAAGUGCCUGGUGCACUAAGGCCUUGUUUAGUUGGCAAAAUUUUGGUUUUUUGGCUACUGUAGCACUUUCGUUUUUAUUUGACAAACAUUAUCCAAUCACGGAGUAACUAGGCUCAAAAGAUUCCUCUCACAAAUUUCAGGUAAACUGUGUAAUUAGUUUUUAUUUUUAUCUUUAUUUAAUGCUCCAUGCAUGUAACCAAAGAUUCGAUGUGACGGGAAAUCUUGAAAAUUUUUGCGAACUAAACAAGGCCAAGCAAAGACCCAGUCUCUAGUAGUGAUUUACUUCUGCCCUCCACUUUGAUUCAUGGUGUAAAUUGUUUCAUUUUCACUAGCCACCUGUUCUUAGGGGAAAGGAGGUGCCUACAAACAUUUGAAGUUUUCUAGACAUCUAAAACAGUCAUAGCAGCUGUUGUUGAUGUUGUUGAUAACUAAGGAGUUAUUGGUCGAAGGAAUUUGUGAAAGGUAAGAUUUAUUUAUUUAUCCAGUUUGCGUCAUGAAUGCCUGAUUACCUUGUUCCAAGCUUUUGAUGUGCCUUGUUGUUAUUCUGUUGUGUGAUGAUUUAGUGUAAAAAAAAUAUAUAAGAAAGCCUCUUGCUCUCCCCACAAAGGUCCAUGGAUGAGAAUGAGCCUAGGUACAGAAGCUAACAGGAGCCACAAGGGUCAUGUAUACAAUUUGAAAUGAGUCAAAAAUGUUAACAUGCCAAGUCAGUAUUGAUAUAACUGAAACCCAUGGACAUCUAUGCCACACUACAUCAAUUAAAGUUCUAUGACAUAGACAAGGUGGCCUUUACAUGCAAUCAGAAUACACAAAAUUAUAUAUACUCCUAGCAACUAUAACUGCAAAAAAGCAUCAAAUAGUUAAAUCAUGAUUUCUUUUAACCAUACACAUUGUAUCUUACAAAACAACCUUCAAAAGUUUGUUUAUAUAGUUAGAGCAUCAGAGUGUGUGGAUUAAGCCCAAGAGGUCGGUGCAUCUAGAACCGGGUUAAAUAGGCCAACCGAAGAUGGAGAAGUACAAGUAAAAUGGUGAUGUCACUAUGUUGUGGGUAGUUGGAAAAUAACUCACGCUGACUUCACUGUUGGUAGACCAAACAGUCGUGUAGGGUCAGCGGCCAUAACACAUAACCCAGUCGGCUCGGCUUUUCAUAUAACAGAGAAAAUACCACUGCCGCAUAUAUUAUUAACCAUCGAUGGUAGAACUUUCAACUAUCGGUUUCCUUCCUUGGGAGGCCUCGCUAUCGGUCAACCAACGGUGGAAGUAUCACACUGUCGCUUCUAUCGCUAUGGCAGUGAAAGUGGCAAUAGUGAUAAAUCAAUCUGUAGUAGUGUAUGGGUUUUCACUCACAUACUUAGUUACUCACAUGUACAAAUGCCUACUUGUGCUUGGGUUGUCACACACCCUUCUACAACACAAAGCAUAAGGAUUUUUCUUUGAUUAGUAUAAUUUCUACCUCUACCAUUCUACUUGUAUUCUUUCUUUAGUGUACAAUUGUAUAAAACAUAAAGCAUAAGGCUCUUGCUUUGAUUUGUAUGAUACUUAUUAAUAGUGCUCUUGCUCUCUUAUAUGUAGCAUCUAGCAACAUGCCAAGCCAAAGUCAAGCACAUGAGUAUGAUCCUAAGAUCGAUCUAGCAAUGGCGAAGUCAAAUGAUUUAGGCUGGAAAUAUGGAGGACCCUGCUAGGAGAGGCUGGGUGACAUGUA